Molecule: long non-coding RNA, 387 nt
Filed under: Homo sapiens (human)
Lineage: Eukaryota; Metazoa; Chordata; Mammalia; Primates; Hominidae
Description: non-protein coding lnc-BST1-1:1
Source: RNAcentral
AAAAUUCAGACACCAAGAUGGUAACCCCCAUGGAUCUUCACAGAGCUUCAAGACAAAGUUUUUGACACUCAACAGAAGGUGAAGCUUACAGACAUACCGACCAAACAGCUAAACAGAACAAAAAAGCAUGCACAUCUUACAGAUGCAGAGAUCAUGACUUCGGUGGAUGAGACUAAUCUGUAUGAAGCUGUAGGAUAUAUGUAUGAAGAUGAAGAAUGUUUAUUCUUCAAUCCAAGGAGGCAGUUCACAAUAAACUGUUAGAAAGUCAGAAAAUAGCAGAAGAAAAAAAAAUUAAAGAACUAAAACAGAAAAAAAUCCUACCUAGAGCAGAAUGUUAAGGAAGCUGAGGGCAACAUCUGGGAGAUGCUGAUGGCACAAAGGGCCCAG